AAUGACUUCCAGAUUUAGGGAUAAUGGCUGGAUUAUAUAUGCCGGACCUAUAGAAGAAAUACACGAACUAUUUACAAUAGCUAAUACUACACACCCGCACUUGAAGUUCACCUACGAAUUUUCCCGUAAUGAAACAAUAUUCUUGGACACUGUCAUAUACAAAGGAGAAAGAUUCUUUAACGAAGGCAUACUAGACAUUAAAACCCAUAUCAAACCAACUGAAACAUUUCAAUAUCUACACAGAUACAGCUCACACCCGGACAGUGUUUUCAAAGGAUUUAUCAAGGGUGAAGUAUUG
RNAcentral lists this long non-coding RNA (298 nucleotides) under Mytilus galloprovincialis (Mediterranean mussel). The record is from RNAcentral. Lineage: Eukaryota; Metazoa; Mollusca; Bivalvia; Mytilida; Mytilidae.